RNAcentral lists this ribosomal RNA (253 nucleotides) under uncultured bacterium. Its description in RNAcentral is "partial 16S ribosomal RNA". It matches the Rfam family "Bacterial small subunit ribosomal RNA", at positions 524 to 776 of the family's 1533-position model. The record is from RNAcentral.
UACGGGGGGUGCGAGCGUUGUCCGGAAUCACUGGGCGUAAAGGGCGCGUAGGUGGCGUGAUAAGGGUGUGGUGAAAGCCCGGGGCUCAACCCCGGGUCUGCCAUGCCGACUGUCAGGCUAGAGUACCGUAGGGGCAGGCGGAAUUCCGGGUGUAGCGGUGGAAUGCGUAGAGAUCCGGAGGAAGACCGGUGGCGAAGGCGGCCUGCUGGGCAGUUACUGACACUGAGGCGCGACAGCGUGGGGAGCAAACAGG